AAGUUAGAUUCUAGUCCUCAGUGUGAAUCUUUGGUGUCUUUCAGGGCAAGCCAGGUCCUAUGGGUGUCCUUGGGAGGCCAGGACCAAAGGGAGAACGGGCCCUACGCCGAGGAAGGCCAAAGACACUUGGAGAAGGAGAUCAAGUUCCUUGCUGACUCCCGGGAGGAAAGCUACGUGUCCCCUUCAGGGAUGCACGGUUUCCUUGCUGACUCCCGGGAGGAAAGCUACAUGUCCACCCUUCAGGGAUGCACGGUAAAAAAAAAAUGGGGGCACCAGGAAGCGGGUGGUGGUGGUGGUGGAAAGCACCUGACUGAAGGGCAAGAGGCUUUAAGGCAGGAGAAGAGAGCUUCUCCUAAGGCUGAGUUCCUGGACAUUUGAGCAGUAAGAUCAACUAUGCCAAUUGGGGCAGGAUUUUCAGGUUUCUUGGACUACCAAUCCCAUAGUUCUCCGUUUUGGGAGUUCUAGUGGGCAGGCAGGCACU
Molecule: long non-coding RNA, 481 nt
Filed under: Pogona vitticeps (central bearded dragon)
Lineage: Eukaryota; Metazoa; Chordata; Lepidosauria; Squamata; Agamidae
Description: lncRNA (ENSPVIG00000011386.1)
Source: RNAcentral